This 58-nucleotide transfer RNA is filed under the name Eptatretus burgeri (inshore hagfish). The record is from Rfam by way of RNAcentral. Lineage: Eukaryota; Metazoa; Chordata; Myxini; Myxiniformes; Myxinidae. RNAcentral also lists the same sequence under 4 other names.
GUGCUCUUAUUGGUAGAAUUUAUAUUUUAUGUCGUAGGUUCAAAUCCUACAGAGUACA